GGAUGAAGAACGUAGCGAAAUACGAUAAGUAAUGUGAAUUGCAGAAUUCAGUGAAUCAUCGAAUCUUUGAACGCACAUUGCGCCCGCCAGUAUUCUGGCGGGCAUGCCUGUCUGAGCGUCAUUUCAACCCUCAUGCCCCUAGGGCGUGGUGUUGGGGAUCGGCCAAAGCCCGCGAGGGACGGCCGGCCCCUAAAUCUAGUGGCGGACCCGUCGUGGCCUCCUCUGCGAAGUAGUGAUAUUCCGCAUCGGAGAGCGACGAGCCCCUGCCGUUAAACCCCCAACUUUCCAAGGUUGACCUCAGAUCAGGUAGGAAUACCCGCUGAACUUAAGCAUAUCAAUAAGCGGAGGA
RNAcentral lists this unclassified non-coding RNA (349 nucleotides) under soil metagenome. Its description in RNAcentral is "partial contains 5.8S ribosomal RNA, internal transcribed spacer 2, and large subunit ribosomal RNA". The stretch from base 2 to 121 matches the Rfam family "5.8S ribosomal RNA", at positions 35 to 154 of the family's 154-position model. The record is from RNAcentral.